RNAcentral lists this long non-coding RNA (1105 nucleotides) under Oryctolagus cuniculus (rabbit). RNAcentral's name for it is "lncRNA (ENSOCUG00000039482.1)". Lineage: Eukaryota; Metazoa; Chordata; Mammalia; Lagomorpha; Leporidae. The record is from RNAcentral.
GGGUGGGAGGGAAGUUGUUGGGGGGGGCAUUGUAAUCCAUAAGCUGUACUUUGGAAAUUUAUAUUCAUUAAAUAAAAGUUAAAAAAAAAAAGAUCAUUUAUGGGGCGAUUUUUAUAGGACUAGCCAUAUGUCUAUAUACUCAUCAUCAGUUGUCGUCACUUCCUCUGAUGUGCAGCCAAUCAGCUUUAGUGACAAACAACUUUGAGUUCCGCCCAUCUUACUUCCUCUGGGCGCCAUCAUCUUUGCCCCUCUCGCAGGGCCCUCUGGAGAGGAGGCUGCCGCCAUCAUCAUCGGCAGCCUGGUCCCUCUCCAUCUGGUUCCCAAUGUUCCUCUUGCUGGGGGGCUGUGGUGGCCGCGGGAGCUGCUCCAGGAUCCACUCCCCCUCCUUGCAUGACAGCAGUUUGCUCAUGGCGGCACUGUGCACACGCUCCAGCUCACAUCCCACUCCUCCAGCGCCUGCAGGCUGUAGAUGAAGUCCUCCUGCAGGUGCUGCAGCUGGCCCUGUGCCUCCUGGAGCCAGGCCCACUUCAUGUUGACCCCUCCUUGGCGCCGACAGCACCCCCCCCCCCACGCCCCGCAUCGUCCGCGUCGUCCGCGUCGUCCGCAUCGCCUGGUCUGGGGGCCAGAGCAGUUACCGCCGCACCUCCGUGGGGCCACUGUCCACCAUGGCGGAGGCCGGGGCCACGUGCGCGCGCAUCGGGCCCCUCCCUGCGCCGCCAUCCCUGGCCGACUGGCUCCACGUGCCCUGACUCGGCAGGUACCUUGUCUCCCACAGAGCUCCAGGCCAGAUUCACACCAGGCUCUCUCCCCAGCUGUAUCUCCAGUGGCACAGGUUGCUGCAGCCUGAUCUCACCUCAUUCUCCAAAGCUCUUCAUGGUUGAGAUCUUGUGUUGUGCCUGUGCAAGUGCUGCGUGUCUGCACCCUCUAUGUAGACUCAUGGGUUCCCCUUCUUUCUGCAGAAUUUCAUUAUGGUUUUCUCCCUAACUCCCCCUGAGAAUGCACUAUCUCCACUUUCGGGACGAAUCAUACAAUAGAAAGAGAAAAAAACUAUCUUCUCUAGCUAGAGUUGUAAGCUCUCUCCCUAUUCUACCAUCUUGUAAUCUCC